UGAUGACUAAUUAUUUGUUUGCUAAUAAUCUUUUAAUUUUCAUUCAUCAGUUAAUUCCUUCCUCAUUAAGUUUUCAAACCCUCAUCUACUAAGAUCUUCUAGAAAAGUCAAUAUCUCUUAUUUACAGUUGAUCGUUGAAUCCCUAUAUAACAGCUUUACAGCCAGCUUCUGUUGUAUGUCUUGACACUUCGUCUUGGUGGGCUUCUUGUUGCUUCUUUUUCUUUUUUAUUUUUUUUUCUUGUGUGAAUUUAUUUCUAUGCAUUGACAGUUACUCGUAGAUUUAGUUACCUUUUGAAAUGCUAGCUUCAGAUCUUUUAUGAUUUUUUACUUUUACAGGUAUCUGAAGAGACGAGGUAUCUUUCUGCAACUUCACUAAGGAACUCGUCUCUCUCUUCCCACACAAACAGAGCACAGAAUGGAGCUGUAGUAUGGACUUCUUUCAGAAAGACGGCAACAAAAAUAAGACUCAGAGUAAAGGUUAGCAAGUCAUUUCUUAUUCUGUUUGUAGGUUUUCUUUGGUGUCUGUGUACUUGUUACACUUCAGUCCUGUUAAUGUUUGUACAGAGAAGUUCUUCAACAAUUUUUGCCUUUCUCAGUUUUACUUUGUAACUCAAACCCUCUGGUAUUCAUUAUUGGCUAUGAGUUCCAAGAAGGCCAUUUUGCAAACUAUUAACGUAAGAAUUAAUUUGCAAUUUAAAAACAAAUAUGUUUCCUCCAUUUUCAUUUCUUAAAUUAGCUUGAAUUGUA
Molecule: long non-coding RNA, 747 nt
Filed under: Phasianus colchicus (ring-necked pheasant)
Lineage: Eukaryota; Metazoa; Chordata; Aves; Galliformes; Phasianidae
Description: lncRNA (ENSPCLG00000002186.1)
Source: RNAcentral